UAGGAAUCUUCCACAAUGGGCGAAAGCCUGAUGGAGCGACGCCGCGUGAAGGAUGAAGGUCUUCGGAUCGUAAACUUCUAAAAGAGGGACGAUAAUGACGGUACCUCUUGAAAAGCACCGGCUAACUCCGUGCCAGCAGCCGCGGUAAUACGGAGGGUGCUAGCGUUAUCCGGAAUCACUGGGCGUAAAGGGCGCGUAGGCGGUCUGUUAAGUCUGAUGUUAAAGACUGGGGCUCAACCCCAGCAAUGCGUUGGAUACUGGCAGA
This 265-nucleotide ribosomal RNA is filed under the name uncultured organism. RNAcentral describes it as "partial 16S ribosomal RNA". It matches the Rfam family "Bacterial small subunit ribosomal RNA", at positions 356 to 640 of the family's 1533-position model. The record is from RNAcentral.